CCUACGGGAGGCAGCAGUGGGGAAUAUUGGGCAAUGGAGGCAACUCUGACCCAGCAACGCCGCGUGAAUGAUGAAGGUCUUCGGAUUGUAAAGCUCUGUGAUGGGGGAUGUACACAAUGACGGUACCCCAAUAGCAAGCCACGGCUAACUACGUGCCAGCAGCCGCGGUAAUACGUAGGGGGCAAGCGUUAUCCGGAUUUACUGGGUGUAAGGGGAGCGUAGGCGGCAGGACAAGGCUGGAGUGAAAUCCCGGGGCUUAACCCCGGAACUGCUUUGGAAACUGUGCGGCUGGAGUGCAGGGGGGGUAGGCGGAAUUCGUAGUGUAGCGGUGAAAUGCGUAGAUAUGAGGAAGAACACCGAUGGCGAAGGCAGCUUGCUGGAGUGGAACUGACGUUGAGGCUCGAAAGCGUGGGGAGCGAACAGGAUUAGAUACCCGUGUAGUC
This 443-nucleotide ribosomal RNA is filed under the name uncultured bacterium. RNAcentral's name for it is "partial 16S ribosomal RNA". It matches the Rfam family "Bacterial small subunit ribosomal RNA", at positions 338 to 795 of the family's 1533-position model. The record is from RNAcentral.